CCUACGGGUGGCAGCAGUGAGGAAUAUUGGUCAAUGGACGAGAGUCUGAACCAGCCAAGUAGCGUGAAGGAUGACUGCCCUAUGGGUUGUAAACUUCUUUUAUAUGGGAAUAAAACGUUCCACGUGUGGGAUUUUGUAUGUACCAUAUGAAUAAGGAUCGGCUAACUCCGUGCCAGCAGCCGCGGUAAUACGGAGGGUCCGAGCGUUAUCCGGAUUUAUUGGGUUUAAAGGGAGCGUAGGUGGAUUGUUAAGUCAGUUGUGAAAGUUUGCGGCUCAACCGUAAAAUUGCAGUUGAAACUGGCAGUCUUGAGUACAGUAGAGGGGGGCGGAAUUCGUGGUGUAGCGGUGAAAUGCUUAGAUAUCACGAAGAACUCCGAUUGCGAAGGCAGUUCACUGGACUGCAACUGACACUGAGGUGCGAAAGUGUGGGUAUCAAACAGGAUUAGAUACCCUUGUAGUC
This 460-nucleotide ribosomal RNA is filed under the name uncultured bacterium. Its description in RNAcentral is "partial 16S ribosomal RNA". It matches the Rfam family "Bacterial small subunit ribosomal RNA", at positions 338 to 795 of the family's 1533-position model. The record is from RNAcentral.